RNAcentral lists this ribosomal RNA (468 nucleotides) under uncultured bacterium. Its description in RNAcentral is "partial 16S ribosomal RNA". It matches the Rfam family "Bacterial small subunit ribosomal RNA", at positions 28 to 507 of the family's 1533-position model. The record is from RNAcentral.
GACGAACGCUGGCGGCGUGCUUAACACAUGCAAGUCGAACGGAAAGGCCCUGCGUUUGUUGGGUUCUCGAUUGGCGCACGGGUGAGUGACACAUGUGUAACCUCUCCUUGACUUUGUGGUAACUUUACGAAACUGGGGCUAAUAUCCGAUAGAAUCUCCUGCUGCACGUUGGGGGUUGGAAAGUUUCGGCUGUUGUGGCUGUUCUCGCGGCUUAUCAGCUUCUUGGUGGGGUUGUGGCUUACAAAGGAUUUGACGGCUAGCCGGCCUGAGAGCGUGACCGGCCACAUGGGUCCUGAGAGACGGAGCAGAAGGCAACGGGAGGCAGUAGGGGAGAACAUGGCACAACGGGGGGAAGUGUGAUGCAGAGACGCCGGGUGCGGGAUGACGGCUUACUGGGUGUAAACCGAUGUCGAAUGUGCCGAAGCGUGAGUGACGGUAACGAGUAAGGAAGCAACGGCUAACUACGUG